GACGAACGCUGGCGGCGUGCUUAACACAUGCAAGUCGAACGGAAAGGCCCUGCUUUUGUGGGGUGCUCGAGUGGCGAACGGGUGAGUAACACGUGAGUAACCUGCCCUUGACUUUGGGAUAACUUCAGGAAACUGGGGCUAAUACCGGAUAGGAGCUCCUGCUGCAUGGUGGGGGUUGGAAAGUUUCGGCGGUUGGGGAUGGACUCGCGGCUUAUCAGCUUGUUGGUGGGGUAGUGGCUUACCAAGGCUUUGACGGGUAGCCGGCCUGAGAGGGUGACCGGCCACAUUGGGACUGAGAUACGGCCCAGACUCCUACGGGAGGCAGCAGUGGGGAAUAUUGCACAAUGGGCGGAAGCCUGAUGCAGCAACGCCGCGUGCGGGAUGACGGCCUUCGGGUUGUAAACCGCUUUCGCCUGUGACGAAGCGUGAGUGACGGUAAUGGGUAAAGAAGCACCGGCUAACUACGUGCCAGCAGCCGCGGUGAUACGUAGGGUGCGAGCGUUGUCCGGAUUUAUUGGGCGUAAAGGGCUCGUAGGUGGUUGAUCGCGUCGGAAGUGUAAUCUUGGGGCUUAACCCUGAGCGUGCUUUCGAUACGGGUUGACUUGAGGAAGAUAGGGGAGAAUGGAAUUCCUGGUGGAGCGGUGGAAUGCGCAGAUAUCAGGAGGAACACCAGUGGCGAAGGCGGUUCUCUGGGCCUUUCCUGACGCUGAGGAGCGAAAGCGUGGGGAGCGAACAGGCUUAGAUACCCUGGUAGUCCACGCUGUAAACGGUGGGUACUAGGUGUGGGGUCCAUUCCACGGGUUCCGUGCCGUAGCUAACGCUUUAAGUACCCCGCCUGGGGAGUACGGCCGCAAGGCUAAAACUCAAAGGAAUUGACGGGGCCCCGCACAAGCGGCGGAGCAUGCGGAUUAAUUCGAUGCAACGCGUAGAACCUUACCUGGGUUUGACAUGGAUCGGGAGUGCUCAGAGAUGGGUGUGCCUCUUUUGGGGUCGGUUCACAGGUGGUGCAUGCCUGUCGUCAGCUCGUGUCGUGAGAUGUUGGGUUAAGUCCCGCAACGAGCGCAACCCUUGUUCACUGUUGCCAGCACGUUAUGGUGGGGACUCAGUGGAGACCGCCGGGGUCAACUCGGAGGAAGGUGGGGAUGACGUCAAGUCAUCAUGCCCCUUAUGUCCAGGGCUUCACGCAUGCUACAAUGGCUGGUACAGAGAGUGGCGAGCCUGUGAGGGUGAGCGAAUCUCGGAAAGCCGGUCUCAGUUCGGAUUGGGGUCUGCAACUCGACCUCAUGAAGUCGGAGUCGCUAGUAAUCGCAGAUCAGCAACGCUGCGGUGAAUACGUUCCCGGGGCU
Molecule: ribosomal RNA, 1346 nt
Filed under: uncultured bacterium
Lineage: Bacteria
Description: partial 16S ribosomal RNA
Rfam family: Bacterial small subunit ribosomal RNA
Source: RNAcentral